RNAcentral lists this ribosomal RNA (102 nucleotides) under Proteus mirabilis. RNAcentral's name for it is "partial 16S ribosomal RNA". It matches the Rfam family "Bacterial small subunit ribosomal RNA", at positions 1 to 102 of the family's 1533-position model. The record is from RNAcentral. Lineage: Bacteria; Pseudomonadati; Pseudomonadota; Gammaproteobacteria; Enterobacterales; Morganellaceae.
UAAUUGAAGAGUUUGAUCAUGGCUCAGAUUGAACGCUGGCGGCAGGCCUAACACAUGCAAGUCGAGCGGUAACAGGAGAAAGCUUGCUUUCUUGCUGACGAG